CUCAAAAGUUACUAAGUGGCUUCUGCAAAAUAUUUUUUGAUAAAUUGCUCUUUUUCCUUCUGACUCUUCCUGAAAGCCCCUCUGAAGUCUGAUGUAUAAGAGCCAGUAACAAAGAACAAAUGAAGAUGCUCUUCACCUGAGGUUUUUCUUUAAAUUCUAUUUUCACUGAGCAAUAGGGGGAAAAAAAAAGAUUUUCUUCCAUCAAAUGCUUUCUGUGAUGGCAGCAGUUUGGUGUGAAUGUGUGAUAAGAAUAUCUGCAAUGUAAAGAUAGCUGGGAACUUUGAAUCAGUCCCUUGGCUGACAGUGGGCAGCCCAGUGUGUUACAAAGGAGGGUUUGAGAAAUCCUAUGCCUGGCAGAUGUGAAAUAGUUUGCUGCCAUGCUAAUCGCUACUGCCUUGGAAUUGAUUUGACCCUGAAACAUGAGAAGCUUCUGCCAGUGGAGGAACUACCUUAGAGUGAGGUGGCUCAAGAUUCUCCUCCUGACUCCCUGCAGAAAGGCUAAUAGAGUGCAGAAAGAUAAAAGCACUAUCCUGUCAGAAGAGAUCUGAAGGUUCUACUUAAGGACACAGACCUGUAUACCUUGCAGGCUUCCUGGCUUUUUUGAACUGAGGAGCCCAGAGCUGGACGCAGUAUUCUAGAUGUGGCCUUGCUACACUGUAAAGCUUUGCACCUGAAAAUAACAGCACUGUUUAUAAAAAUGAAAUGAACAAUGUAAAAAAAUAUGCUGGUAAACGUGGGAAAUUCAAACCAAAAGUUUUGAAAGUUACAGCAAAUGAAGUUUCAGAUUCUCUUAUGAAUAUGAUACAGUUAAACACUAUAGCACAAUAUUUAGCUCUCAACUUGUUGAUUGCUUCAUAGUCAAGGUGUUACAACAUACAUUUCAGAAACAUUGAGUUUUACGUGACAAACAGGUUAAUCUUCAAGGAUGACCACACAGAGCACCACUGAUACACAACACACAGAGUGAAAAGAAUUUGUCUGCCACUCGUCCUAACAAAUGAUCAAGGUUGUAUUUCUUCUUGAUAUUUCAUAUUCAGAAUGUCCAAGUGUAUACACUGCAUGUAGGGAAGCA
Numida meleagris (helmeted guineafowl) is the source of this 1072-nucleotide long non-coding RNA. RefSeq lists it as uncharacterized. NCBI's taxonomy places the organism in Eukaryota, Metazoa, Chordata, Aves, Galliformes, Numididae. The record is from RefSeq and is a predicted model, not a curated record. The transcript is spliced from 4 exons.